GUGAGGAAUAUUGCGCAAUGGAGGCAACUCUGACGCAGCCAUGCCGCGUGCAGGAAGAAGGCGCUACGCGUUGUAAACUGCUUUUAACCGGGAAGAAACCCCAGGACGUGUCCUGGGUUGACGGUACCGGAGGAAUAAGCACCGGCUAACUUCGUGCCAGCAGCCGCGGUAAUACGAAGGGUGCAAGCGUUAUCCGGAUUCAUUGAGUUUAAAGGGUGCGUAGGCGGAGCGUUAAGUCAGUGGUGAAAUCCUGCAGCUUAACUGUAGACUUGGCAUUGAUACUGGCGCUCUUGAGUGCGCUUGAAGUGGGCGGAAUGUGCCGUGUAGCGGUGAAAUGCUUAGAUAUGGCACAGAACACCAAUUGCGAAGGCAGCUCACUAAGGCGAUACUGACGCUGAGGCACGAAAGCGUGGGGAUCGAACAGGAUUAGAAACCCCUGUAGUCC
This 445-nucleotide ribosomal RNA is filed under the name uncultured bacterium. RNAcentral describes it as "partial 16S ribosomal RNA". It matches the Rfam family "Bacterial small subunit ribosomal RNA", at positions 354 to 796 of the family's 1533-position model. The record is from RNAcentral.